RNAcentral lists this long non-coding RNA (805 nucleotides) under Capra hircus (goat). RNAcentral's name for it is "lncRNA (ENSCHIG00010010035.1)". The record is from RNAcentral. Lineage: Eukaryota; Metazoa; Chordata; Mammalia; Artiodactyla; Bovidae.
UUACCUAAAUUCCUAAGAAAAUAUUUUUCAGAAGAAAGUGAUAUACAAAGGCCUUGUACUACAGUUAAAAGAAACACGUUUGAAUCACACAGGAUUUGAAAGAUGAUUAAAUAUAGUAUAAUUGGGAGAAAAUUCUGGUCAAUGUAUUUAUCUACAGUAGUAUUUUAGGAAGCAGUAUUUUUGGCUUCAAUAUAUGCAAAAAAAAUUUGAUUCACAAAUAUUUUGCUCAAGUAGGCUAUUUCUGGAGUUUCAUUAUAUGUGAAAUUUUCUCUGUUCUUUCAAUUUGCUGUAGGUUGGUCAACCCAAUGAUUGAUGACUAGUUUUUGAACAUUGAAACAGGCAAACUUCACUGCAUUGAAGUUGUCACUGAACUCAGGAGAGAAUAUUUGGCUGACCCAUUCCCUGCAAAUAAUUAAAAGGAGUAUGAUUUCACUUCUAAUUGGAUUUCUAAGGUCCUACCCUGCCCCCAAGCAACUCAGAGGACUUGGGGAAAGGUGAUUCCACCUCCAUCUCCAGGACUGGGUCCUGAUUUGUCUAGCCCAGUGAUUGACUUAUGGACUUAUGCUAGGCUUUGUCUAAUCAGCAUAAACAUGCUCCUGAGACACUUUAAACCCAAUUGUGGGUAUGGAAUCUGAGUUAUAUGGUUCAAAAUAAAAGGAAAGAUUUAUUUCUUUCGCCAUUCUGGAAGGGAGGAAGAUUUCUCCUUUGAAAGUAAAUACAGAUGGAUAUUGUUUCCAUAGUUAAUGGCAGUUUUCUUGAUCAUGAACUCCUUAUUACCAAAUUCAGACUUAAAUUGAAGAAAGUA